This 1409-nucleotide long non-coding RNA is filed under the name Homo sapiens (human). RNAcentral's name for it is "novel transcript". Lineage: Eukaryota; Metazoa; Chordata; Mammalia; Primates; Hominidae. The record is from RNAcentral.
ACUCACCACUCACACACUGACUCACUCAGAGCAGCUUCCAGUUCUGCAAACUCCUUUCACGCUCAGGAAACACUGGACAAGCUGUUUGGGCUCUCUAGCCUUGGAUUCCUCAUUUGUAAGACAAAGAAGAUAAUCCUACCCUAUUGCCCAUGUUGGUGUGGGAAUCCACAAAGAAGGACACGGCACUGUUCCAAGUCAAGGUUACAGGGAGAAUGGAACAAGUUUCAGUAGAAGAAACUUCACCUAACCUCUUUAAUUCCAACAGUUCUUGAAUUUCCUGAAAAAUCUAUUGGUGUAUACUCAGAAAUGGAACUGUUGGAUCACAUGAUGGUUUCACAGCAGUUUCAAUGUUUUAAACGAUAGUAGUUUCACCACCUAAGAAGUUGUCUUUCAAUAAGAAGACCAAAGAGGAAGAUAUAAAAAGACUUAUUUUGGUGUAUCUCUAGGGUAUUCCCUAAGAACUGGUAUACAAUGGGUCUAGAUAUUUGAGGAAGUCUGAGUUGAUGCAUAGGCAGGUAUGGUCAAUAUGAAAUUAGGCUUAUCAGCCUGAUUUGAUUCUUACUCAGACUGGUAAGAACUGAGGAUAUAAGGGCUGAGGACAUAAAGGUCACCCCAGAUAGCCAUCUUGUGCUGAACCUGCUUUUUGGCAGGUAAGUUCUUGCCAACCCUAAUUAUUUCUGCUAACUCCCUUUGUAUUUCCAGUACCACCGUACUCAAUUAAAGAUCCAGACUCAUCUCUUACAAUAGUAAAACAUACCUAAGAUCAGGCUAUAAUGUUUACACAAGUUUAUUAUUACCUUUAGUAUUUUAUUCAAAUAAUAUCACAAAGCAUUAAAAAUUUCAGAAAUAAACCUAUAGACACACCCCUAAAACUUUAUAUGAAUAUCUCUGAGGCAAUAGGCCAUGGUUCUCUGCAGGUUAGUGGUGCAUUGUUCACUAGCUGUUAAAUUAUUCAGUGCUUACACAGUCUCCAAACCAAAUGUAUACUUUUCUUUUUUCACUCCCAUUAUCUAAGUAGUCACCAUAAAAUAGCAAUAUUUACCAAAAAUAUCUCUCAUAUCUGUUCCAUCUUCUCCAAUUCAAUAGAAUUGUCAGUGCUAAAAAAUCUACUAUUUAGCUUAAGCCUCCUUCAAUUAUUUAUUUUUCAUAAUGGGAGACACUGUAGCACAACUGUUAAAUACACAAGUUCUAGACUUAGACUGUGCGUGGUUCAAAUUAACGUCUGACUAGUGGUGUCAUCAUUGCCAAAUUACUUAAUUUCUCUGACCCAUUGCAGAAUUAACAAAAAGUACAAUAAUUAUGAUGCCUACUCCUGCAAGCAUUAAAACAAACAUGCCUAUAUACACAUAUAUGUAAAAUGUGUUUUAUAAUAUCUGGAACAAAAUGUCCAUUCAAUAAAUAUUAGCUAC